This 241-nucleotide unclassified non-coding RNA is filed under the name Hevea brasiliensis (rubber tree). The record is from RNAcentral. Lineage: Eukaryota; Viridiplantae; Streptophyta; Magnoliopsida; Malpighiales; Euphorbiaceae.
UACUACGUCGUCGCGCACUUCCACUACGUGCUGUCGCUGGGCGCCGUGUUCGCGAUCUUCGCAGGCUGGUACUACUGGUUCCCGAAGAUGUUCGGUUACAUGUACUCGGAGACCAUCGCCAAGCUGCACUUCUGGGUGACCUUCAUCGGCGUCAACCUGAUCUUCUUCCCGCAGCACUUCCUCGGCCUGUCCGGCAUGCCGCGCCGCUACAUCGACUAUCCGGACGCUUUCGCGGGCUGGA